AGUUUUGCCUACUAGAACAGCGCGAUACGCUGUUAGUCUCCCUGGGAGGCGACACGUUCAACAUGCGGAAAGGCCUAUAUGAUAGGAAAUCCGCAGCCCGUUGCCCUUACCCGGCGAUCGGUUCAGAGACUCGAUGAGCGUGGGUUAGGCUUACCCAUAGCCUAGCUUGAGAUAGAGCCCGUCCCUGCUGGCAACUGCAGGGAUUCGACGGAACCUGCGGAAGGAUCAUUAAAGAAUAUCAGGCCUUACAGCCCUAUUCUCACCCAAUGUAUUUGAAACUUUGUUGCUUUGGCAGGCCCCUGGCUCCGGCUGGACAGCGCCUGCCAGAGGAUCUAAACCCUUGAAUCUCUGCUGUCUGAGUUACUAUACAAUAGUUAAAACUUUCAACAACGGAUCUCUUGGUUCUGGCAUCGAUGAAGAACGCAGCGAAAUGCGAUAAGUAAUGUGAAUUGCAGAAUUCAGUGAAUCAUCGAAUCUUUGAACGCACAUUGCGCCCUCUGGUAUUCCGGGGGGCAUGCCUGUUCGAGCGUCAUUACAACCCUCACGCUUUGCGUGGUGUUGGGCCUGCCCCCUAAAGGGCUUGCCUCAAAAUCAGUGGCGGCCGCUGUUCGACCCCUAAGCGUAGUAACUAUUCGUCGCUUCUGGGUGAGAGCAAGCCUGCUAGGAACCCCCACCUUCAAAGGUGACCUCGCUGAACUUAAGCAUAUCAAUAAGCGGAGGAAAGA
Molecule: ribosomal RNA, 725 nt
Filed under: Tryblidiopsis pinastri
Lineage: Eukaryota; Fungi; Ascomycota; Leotiomycetes; Rhytismatales; Rhytismataceae
Description: eukaryotic LSU rRNA
Rfam family: 5.8S ribosomal RNA (bases 379-532)
Source: RNAcentral